ACCUCUAGCAUUACCAGUAUUAGAGGCACCGCCUGCCCGGUGACAUAUGUUUAACGGCCGCGGUACCCUAACCGUGCAAAGGUAGCAUAAUCACUUGUUCCUUAAAUAGGGACUUGUAUGAAUGGCUCCACGAGGGUUUAGCUGUCUCUUACUUUCAACCAGUGAAAUUGACCUACCCGUGAAGAGGCGGGCAUAACAUAACAAGACGAGAAGACCCUAUGGAGCUUUAAUUCAUUAAUGCAAACAAUACUUAACAAACCUACAGGUCCUAAACUAUUAAACCUGCAUUAAAAAUUUCGGUUGGGGCGACCUCGGAGCACAACCCAACCUCCGAGCAAUACAUGCUAAGACCUCACCAGUCAAAGCGAAUUACUACAUCCAAUUGAUCCAAUGACUUGACCAACGGAACAAGUUACCCUAGGGAUAACAGCGCAAUCCUAUUCCAGAGUCCAUAUCAACAAUAGGGUUUACGACCUCGAUGUUGGAUCAGGACAUCCCGAUGGUGCAGCCGCUAUUAAAGGUU
Molecule: ribosomal RNA, 523 nt
Filed under: Pan troglodytes (chimpanzee)
Lineage: Eukaryota; Metazoa; Chordata; Mammalia; Primates; Hominidae
Description: partial 16S large subunit ribosomal RNA
Rfam family: Bacterial large subunit ribosomal RNA
Source: RNAcentral